UUCCGGUUGAUCCUGCCGGACCCUACUGCUAUCGGGAUGGGACUAAGACAUGCUAGUCGUGCGCCUCCAAGCCAUGGUGGAGGCGCGGCGCACAGCUCAGUAACACGUGGUUAACCUGCCCUUGGGACGGAAACACCCCCGGGAAACUGGGGCUAUUUCGAUAGGUGAAGGGCUCUGGGAAUGAAUCUUCGCCUAAUGGCGCUUAGGCCAUGCUCUAGGCGCUGCCAAGAUGGGGCCGCGGCCGAUCAGGUUGUUGGUGAGGUAAUGGCUCACCAAGCCUUUAACCGGUUCGGGCCGUGGGAGCGGGAGCCCGGAGAUGGGCACUGAGACAAGGGCCCAGGCCCUACGGGGCGCAGCAGUCGCGAAAACUCCGCAAUACGCGAAGGCGUGACGGGGCUAUCCCGAGUGCCGUCCGCUGAGGAUGGCUUUUCCCUAGUGUAGAUAGCUGGGGGAAUAAGGAGAGGGCAAGUCUGGUGUCAGCCGCCGCGGUAAUACCAGCUCUCCGAGUGGUGGGGACGUUUAUUGGGCCUGAAGCAUCCGUAGCCAGCUGAGCAAGUCCCCAGUUAAAUCCAGCGAUUUAAUCGUUGGACUGCUGGGGAUACUGUCCGGCUAGGGGGUGGGAGAGGCCGACGGUAUUCCCGGGUAGGGGUGAAAUCCUAUAAUCCCGGGAGGACCACCAGUGGCGAAGGCUGUUGGCUAAACAUGCCCGACGGUGAGGGAUGAAAGCUGGGGGAGCGACCGGAUUAGAUACCCGGGUAGUCCCAGCUGUAAACGAUGCAGGCUAGGUGUUAGGGCGGCCACGUGCCGCUCUAGUGCCGCAGGGAAGCUGUUAAGCCUGCCGCCUGGGAAGUACGGUCGCAAGGCUGAAACUUAAAGGAAUUGGCGGGA
RNAcentral lists this ribosomal RNA (888 nucleotides) under uncultured archaeon. RNAcentral's name for it is "bacterial SSU rRNA". It matches the Rfam family "Archaeal small subunit ribosomal RNA", at positions 1 to 873 of the family's 1478-position model. The record is from RNAcentral.